UUUGACUCAACACGGGAAACCAAAGUCAUGGACAGGAUUGACAGAUUGAUAUCUCUUUCUUGAUUCUGUGGGUGGUGGUGCAUGGCCGUUCUUAGCUGGUGGAGUGAUUUGUCUGGUUAAUUCCAAUAACGAAUGAGACUCUGGCAUGCUAACUAGUUACAAAACCCCGAGAAUAGUUGCCUUGAAACCAUGUUUCAUUACAGUCAAUAAAAAUUCAUUUUUCUUCAGUCUCCUGUCUACUUAGAGCUACGGUUUUCCUCCCCCUGCCCACUUUACCUAUCAGUUUUAAAUUCAUCAUCAAUGUACUCUUUACCAAAUAAC
Molecule: non-coding RNA, 321 nt
Filed under: Felis catus (domestic cat)
Lineage: Eukaryota; Metazoa; Chordata; Mammalia; Carnivora; Felidae
Description: Eukaryotic small subunit ribosomal RNA
Rfam family: Eukaryotic small subunit ribosomal RNA
Source: Rfam by way of RNAcentral